RNAcentral lists this ribosomal RNA (360 nucleotides) under uncultured Erysipelotrichaceae bacterium. RNAcentral's name for it is "bacterial SSU rRNA". It matches the Rfam family "Bacterial small subunit ribosomal RNA", at positions 8 to 353 of the family's 1533-position model. The record is from RNAcentral. Lineage: Bacteria; Bacillati; Bacillota; Erysipelotrichia; Erysipelotrichales; Erysipelotrichaceae.
AGAGUUUGAUCAUGGCUCAGGAUGAACGCUGGCGGCGUGCCUAAUACAUGCAAGUCGAACGAAACGACUUUAGAAAGCUUGCUUUCUUAAGAAGUUUAGUGGCGAACGGGUGAGUAAUACAUAAGUAACCUGCCUUAGUGCCUGGGAUAACAGAAGGAAACUUCUGCUAAUACCGGAUAUAUGAGAAGAAGGCAUCUUCUUCUCAAGAAAGAUGGACUACAUCACACUUAGAUGGACUUAUGGCGCAUUAGUUAGUUGGUGAGGUAGUGGCUCACCAAGACGAUGAUGCGUAGCCGACCUGAGAGGGUGACCGGCCACACUGGGACUGAGACACGGCCCAGACUCCUACGGGAGGCAGCA